Molecule: ribosomal RNA, 1343 nt
Filed under: uncultured bacterium
Lineage: Bacteria
Description: 16S ribosomal RNA
Rfam family: Bacterial small subunit ribosomal RNA
Source: RNAcentral
GACGAACGCUGGCGGCGUGCUUAACACAUGCAAGUCGAACGGAAAGGCCCUGCUUUUGUGGGGUGCUCGAGUGGCGAACGGGUGAGUAACACGUGAGUAACCUGCCCUUGACUUUGGGAUAACUUCAGGAAACUGGGGCUAAUACCGGAUAGGAGCUCCUGCUGCAUGGUGGGGGUUGGAAAGUUUCGGCGGUUGGGGAUGGACUCGCGGCUUAUCAGCUUGUUGGUGGGGUAGUGGCUUACCAAGGCUUUGACGGGUAGCCGGCCUGAGAGGGUGACCGGCCACAUUGGGACUGAGAUACGGCCCAGACUCCUACGGGAGGCAGCAGUGGGGAAUAUUGCACAAUGGGCGGAAGCCUGAUGCAGCAACGCCGCGUGCGGGAUGACGGCCUUCGGGUUGUAAACCGCUUUCGCCUGUGACGAAGCGUGAGUGACGGUAAUGGGUAAAGAAGCACCGGCUAACUACGUGCCAGCAGCCGCGGUGAUACGUAGGGUGCGAGCGUUGUCCGGAUUUAUUGGGCGUAAAGGGCUCGUAGGUGGUUGAUCGCGUCGGAAGUGUAAUCUUGGGGCUUAACCCUGAGCGUGCUUUCGAUACGGGUUGACUUGAGGAAGGUAGGGGAGACUGGAAUUCCUGGUGGAGCGGUGGAAUGCGCAGAUAUCAGGAGGAACACCAGUGGCGAAGGCGGUUCUCUGGGCCUUUCCUGACGCUGAGGAGCGAAAGCGUGGGGAGCGAACAGGCUUAGAUACCCUGGUAGUCCACGCUGUAAACGGUGGGUACUAGGUGUGGGGUCCAUUCCACGGGUUCCGUGCCGUAGCUAACGCUUUAAGUACCCCGCCUGGGGAGUACGGCCGCAAGGCUAAAACUCAAAGGAAUUGACGGGGCCCCGCACAAGCGGCGGAGCAUGCGGAUUAAUUCGAUGCAACGCGUAGAACCUUACCUGGGUUUGACAUGGAUCGGGAGUGCUCAGAGAUGGGUGUGCCUCUUUUGGGGUCGGUUCACAGGUGGUGCAUGGCUGUCGUCAGCUCGUGUCGUGAGAUGUUGGGUUAAGUCCCGCAACGAGCGCAACCCUUGUUCACUGUUGCCAGCACGUUAUGGUGGGGACUCAGUGGAGACCGCCGGGGUCAACUCGGAGGAAGGUGGGGAUGACGUCAAGUCAUCAUGCCCCUUAUGUCCAGGGCUUCACGCAUGCUACAAUGGCUGGUACAGAGAGUGGCGAGCCUGUGAGGGUGAGCGAAUCUCGGAAAGCCGGUCUCAGUUCGGAUUGGGGUCUGCAACUCGACCUCAUGAAGUCGGAGUCGCUAGUAAUCGCAGAUCAGCAACGCUGCGGUGAAUACGUUCCCGGG